Molecule: ribosomal RNA, 445 nt
Filed under: uncultured bacterium
Lineage: Bacteria
Description: bacterial SSU rRNA
Rfam family: Bacterial small subunit ribosomal RNA
Source: RNAcentral
AACGAACGCUGGCGGCAGGCCUAACACAUGCAAGUCGAACGUGAAGCUGGAGCUUGCUCCAGUGGAAAGUGGCAGACGGGUGAGUAACGCGUGGGAAUUUACCCAGUGGUACGGAAUAACUCAGGGAAACUUGUGCUAAUACCGUAUAAGCCCUUCGGGGGAAAGAUUUAUCGCCGAAGGAUCGGCCCGCGUUAGAUUAGCUUGUUGGUGGGGUAAAGGCCUACCAAGGCGACGAUCUAUAGCUGGUCUGAGAGGACGAUCAGCCACACUGGGACUGAGACACGGCCCAGACUCCUACGGGAGGCAGCAGUGGGGAAUAUUGGACAAUGGGCGCAAGCCUGAUCCAGCCAUGCCGCGUGGAUGAAGAAGGCCCUAGGGUUGUAAAAUCCUUUCGGUGGUGAAGAUAAUGACGGUAACCACACAAGAAGCCCCGGCUAAUUUCGUG